Molecule: long non-coding RNA, 424 nt
Filed under: Monodelphis domestica (gray short-tailed opossum)
Lineage: Eukaryota; Metazoa; Chordata; Mammalia; Didelphimorphia; Didelphidae
Description: lncRNA (ENSMODG00000050057.1)
Source: RNAcentral
GGUAAGAAUUGAAUGAGAUCAGAAAGCAUAGAAGAAUUACAAUCUGUAUUGGUGAAGAGAGCACCCAAACUGAUGAAAUCCUGAAUCCAUCAAGAAACUGUAGUUCAGCAAUGCCCUCAAGGACUAUUGAAAGCCAGAGGGAUUCAGGGUGGAGCUGUUCCCCUCCUCAUCUCCAUGGACCUGAGGACAUUCUUCACUUAACUCUCUCCUCUGUCCAGCAGCCCAAUGGGAGUGCUUCCUCCUUCCCCUGUCUGAGACUCAAUAUUGUGUAUUGGUUCCAAGGCAGAAAAGUGAAAAGGACUAGGUAAUGACGGUUAAGUAAUUCAUCCAAAGUCAUACUACUAGGAAGUUUCUGAGGACAUCUUUGAACCCAGGACCUCCAUAAGCCUGGAUCUCAAUCUACUGAACCACCCAGCUGCCCGUA